AGAGUGGGAGCCUCCUUACAUGCCUUGCAGAGCAUUCCUGAAAGGCUAGUGGGUGAACAUGCUCACAGAAGCAGAGGGCUGGAGUUAACAGGACAUUCCUAAAAGGGGUGGAGCCAGUAGUACAUUCGGGAGAAGGCUGGAGCUAACAGAGCAUUCCUGAGAGGUCUCACAGUGCAGGCAGUUACAAAACAUUUUCAUACAUUGGGCAGGGGAGCUGCUGGGCAGCACAAGCUGUUACACUUCUGGAACAAAAGAUCUUGUGGAAAGGACAUGGGGGCAAGAGACAAAGUCUGAAAAGUUCUGUGUCUGAACUACUGAUACUCAUCCAGCAAGUGCAUCAUUGAGAUAAACUUUACUAUGGCCAAAAAUGAACAUCUCUGCUAUCAGCUCUGAGAUCUAAUUCCAGACAUCUGCUUAACAGAACACAAAGAAGGUCAUGGAGACAGGACUCAUAGGGGAGAGGAUCCUUAACAGAGACAGGGCUCACAAACAAGCCCAUCUGCAAGCAAGUGAACACCCUCAACUUCCUCUCCAUCUUAUUUUCUUCAUCACUUCUCUACAAAGUGUAAGCCAAAAGAAAGCUCUCCCCUUUUUGUUGGAGGUGUCAGGUAUUGUAUCCCAGUGACCAGAAAAUAACUGAUACAGUGUUGUGAGCUGCAAUCACUUGGUUCAGCUAAUCACAGCCAGACCUCUUCUUUGUCAACAGGUAUUUUGGUCAUUGCAAAUAUUAAUGACCUAUUGUGAGACAAGUAUCAACAAAAGAAGUCAUAUUCCUUGACAAUUCAAUGUAAUAGUUGAGUAGCUAUUGAUGCUCUUUGCCUAAAUUCUUUUAUUUCAUUGAGAUUCAUACAUUAUUUUCAUUUUGAAAUAUUCAUUUUAUUUUUUCUACUUGAUAUUUUAAUGCAAAACUUUUAUGCAUUAAAUAAAUAUAGAUUAUAAUUUUUUUCUUGUGAGAUAGUGGAGACUUAUUGCUUUGCCUUUAUUUAUGAGUAUUUUGAGAACUGUUAUCAUAAUAACUACCAUUAUCAGGGCAAAUAUUUGAGCAUGCUCUCUCUCUCUCUCUCUCUCUCUCUCUCUCUGGCUCUUUGUGUUUGUAUCUGUUGUAAUGUAGUUAUAUUUUAAUUUACAUUAUGUAUCAAAAUUGAUCCUCUACAUUAUUGCUUUUGAUAUAGACAUCUACUCAAAUCUCACUCGUGAGAUAGCUAUCAAUAUGAGUCUUUUGUCCUUCAGACUCAACCUCUUGAGUCUUUGACCAAAUGAUUG
Molecule: long non-coding RNA, 1263 nt
Organism: Heterocephalus glaber (naked mole-rat)
Lineage: Eukaryota; Metazoa; Chordata; Mammalia; Rodentia; Bathyergidae
Source: RefSeq, a predicted model, not a curated record